Melopsittacus undulatus (budgerigar) is the source of this 644-nucleotide long non-coding RNA. RefSeq lists it as uncharacterized. Lineage: Eukaryota; Metazoa; Chordata; Aves; Psittaciformes; Psittaculidae. The transcript is spliced from 3 exons. The record is from RefSeq and is a predicted model, not a curated record.
GGCACUGCAGGAUCUUCGUAUGAAUAAAACUGGAAUAUCACUCCCUUGUCAAACACAGCUACCUUGGGAAUACUGUCACAGGAGCAGCAUCAUUUUUAUUUGGAGAAAGCUUCACACUGCUGCUACAUCUGGCCUGCGGACAGGAUAAAUCCUGCAAAACAGAAGACGACCCCAGCAGCAGCUUUCACAACUGCACUGGAAGGCAGGGAACCAGCAAGAAGUACCUGAACUGUGUUAAAUUUGAUUGGCACAACUACAACUACCCUCUGCCAGCAGUACAUUUUUCCGGCCCCUGACCAGCCAGAGGAGACCACCAGGACCAUUUAGCCCAGUCACUAACAAAUAGUGUGAUUCAUCAAAGAGUUUUAUGAGGAGCUUGAGGAACUGAACAGAAACCACCAAUUUUCUCAAUACAAGAUGGUAAGGGACUUACAUAGCAAUAUAACCUACAUAUAUUGUAUUAUUACUCAGCAACACUGUAUUGAAAGGCACUAAAUGCUGUCAUGUCAAAACAUGAACAUAAAGCCAAUGUUUAAACUUAAAACUGGCAUAACCUCAAUGUAAAUGGUCAUUUAUUAGGAGAAAGAAAGUUGGGAUUUUUUAACAAGGUAAAGUCUGCUUAAGAUCCAAAACUAAAGGACAGA